Molecule: ribosomal RNA, 253 nt
Filed under: uncultured bacterium
Lineage: Bacteria
Description: partial 16S ribosomal RNA
Rfam family: Bacterial small subunit ribosomal RNA
Source: RNAcentral
UACGUAGGGCGCAAGCGUUGUCCGGAAUUAUUGGGCGUAAAGAGCUCGUAGGCGGCUUGUCACGUCGGGUGUGAAAGUCCGGGGCUCAACUCCGGAUCUGCGGUGGGUACGGGCAGACUAGAGUGCAGUAGGGGAGACUGGAAUUCCUGGUGUAGCGGUGAAAUGCGCAGAUAUCAGGAGGAACACCGAUGGCGAAGGCAGGUCUCUGGGCUGUAACUGACGCUGAGGAGCGAAAGCAUGGGGAGCGAACAGG